This is a long non-coding RNA of Eptesicus fuscus (big brown bat), 196 nucleotides long. RefSeq lists it as uncharacterized. The transcript has 3 exons. Lineage: Eukaryota; Metazoa; Chordata; Mammalia; Chiroptera; Vespertilionidae. The record is from RefSeq and is a predicted model, not a curated record.
CACCAAUGUGACAGGUCAGUCUUUGAAAUGGUGUCUACUAAGAGAAUUUAGAUCAUGGCUGUUGCCUGAUCCUUCUUCCUAAGACCAAAGUAGAAUAAACAACAAGCUUCAACUGAAAUAAGAAAUCUAGAAUAUACUUCUAACAGUUUGUCUAAAGUGUUUUAUUUCCUUUUGUCAACUUGUACAAAAUCAAUCC